UACGUAGGCAGCGAGCGUUGUUCGGAGUUACUGGGCGUAAAGAGUGCGUAGGUGGCUCUCUAAGUUUGGUGUGAAAUCUCCCGGCUCAACUGGGAGGGUGCGCCGAAAACUGGAGGACUAGAGUGUGGGAGAGGAAAGCGGAAUUCCUGGUGUAGCGGUGAAAUGCGUAGAUAUCAGGAGGAACACCUGCGGUGUAGACGGCUUUCUGGUCCUUAACUGACGCUGAGGCGCGAAAGCAUGGGGAGCGAACGGG
Molecule: ribosomal RNA, 253 nt
Filed under: uncultured bacterium
Lineage: Bacteria
Description: partial 16S ribosomal RNA
Rfam family: Bacterial small subunit ribosomal RNA
Source: RNAcentral